RNAcentral lists this long non-coding RNA (2134 nucleotides) under Lactuca sativa (garden lettuce). RNAcentral describes it as "long non-coding RNA (LSAT_LNC001587)". The record is from RNAcentral. Lineage: Eukaryota; Viridiplantae; Streptophyta; Magnoliopsida; Asterales; Asteraceae.
UUUUUCUUGUGGCCAUCGACGGAAGUUGUUAACACCCUCCCUCGUGUUCUUCUUGGGUGGCAGUGAUCGAUAAAAAAAAAAAAAAAAAAAAAAACCCCGAAUCCAAUUGCUUGGGGUAUGAAGUGCGACUAUCGGCAAUAGAGAAGGACAAGGGAGAGACGAGCGCGAGAGGGUUUACAAGGUUGCGAUCGACUCCUAGUUUCCCUCAUGUGUGUGUUGUCGAUCAGCAAGGAAGAAAAAAAAAAUCGAGCGUGAUUAGGAGCGGGGCAGCAGGAACGAUCGAGAGGGUGUAAGGCUGGCGCGACUUGAGCCGGUUGGCUGUUUUCGUUUUUUGAUUCGGUGUUGAGUUCAAAAUUGCGUCUCUAAUCUGGUGCUGGAAUCGACCUCUUAUAUUGGUAACUCCUUGAUUCUUGAUUCUUUAUAUAAUUAUCUUCAAAUUGCUUUCCAAUUUGUAUCAAUAAUCAUGACUUCUUUUACUUCCUCCUUAUGAUUGCUUGAAUGGACAAAGUCCAGAUUUUGUAAGGUAUUUUAUUGAUUAUUUUCCUGUCAAAGUCCUAUAAAUUCCCUUUUACAUGUUGGUGUGGGUGAUUGGGAGUUGGUUGGAUUGGUUAAGUCAAAUGCUCUCUUUUGGUGUCAUUACUCACAUCGUUUAUCUUCAAUUCUUGUGAUUUCUUGUGUAAUGAUUUUAUGUUUAAGAAUAUGUUCCCAACUCUUCAUAAGAUCCUCAAAAUAGUUUUCCAGUAUAUUCAAAUAUGUGAGUUAGUGGGAGAAAUUCAAACCCAAGUUGGUUCUCUUUUUAAUAUCAUAUGUUGUCUUUCCAUUAAAGACAAUGUACUUUGGACCAUGGUUGGAGGGUGAAACCAUCUUUUUACUCUCAUGUUAUAUUGCUACUGUUUUAAACCUGUUUUUCAGCCAUGUGGUCGAUUUGGGUGGUGACUUAAUGGGUUAAGUGGUCAAAAUGUCCUUGAAAUUCAAAGCUCGAAAAUUCUGAAAAAUUUAUCAUUCUGCCCCUGUUUUGGAAAAAAUGUAGAAAAAUCAUCAGAAGUCGUAUCAGUGAUCCGUAAACUCUCAAAGUUUUCAUUUUGAGUCUAGUUUGUCCAUGAAUUUUUCCAAUACCUGUUGUUGCCUCCAACUUAGGUGAAAAUCGCCUUUUUCACUGACUGGUCGGAAAUUAGCUGUACAGAUAGACUGUUUUGUAAAAAUCAUAUAAAAUUGUAGAAAAAUCGUUUGGACUUUUAAAAGUACUUUAUGAAAAGAUAAAAGUACAAACUACUGGAAUAUACAAAAAUAUUGUAUAAUUUGCAGUCCUUGGUGGUGUUAAAAUGGCUUUGAACAGGUGGCUGUUACGGGUCAAAAUCUUGAACUUUGUUCUAAACGUUCGUCUAUAUGUUUAGGCAUUCUACUCUCAAUGUUUUUGUGUCAUAUGUUUGAUAUUCUCAUAAAAGUACAUAAUUGAUGUCUUAAUACUACCAUUCAAUCAUCUUGUGUGUAAAACUGAGCAUUUUUAAUCAUUUACCUAAAGUCUUGAAUCAUAUAGUGAUUUUUGGUGAGUGUUAGAAUUCUGCACAGCAACUUUUCCCCAUCUUGCGAGAGAUAUAGCUGCUAAUAUGGGAAGAAUUGGAAGAUGCUCCUCUCUCAUGAAGCUCUAGGAAAUCGAGUCUAGUUUUCGAAAAGUCCGGAUUUAGUCCAAUCGGAGUUACAGAUUCUGUUUUAUGACCAAAACACUGAACAGUGGUCAAGCUGUGAAACUUAAAAAAAUAUAUGUAACCCAUUAAGAAAUUAAAGGUGUUAAUGAAACUUGGACCCCAUUUUGAUGAUUGCUUGGCAUGUGUGAUUAUUAGGUGAAAACUUGACAACUUCAAGAAGGUUCAAGGCUUGAAUUAAAAAGAACUCGCUUCAAACAUAAGGUGAGUCGACAAUUUCUGUUGACUUUAGUGCAUAACCGGAAACCACAUCUCGUAUGUAGAUUGUUGAUGCAAAUUAGGAUUCAUGCUAUAUUUUUAUAAAUGCUUGUGAUAAUUAUUGAAAAUAUGUUGUUUGCAUCUUGUGUGUGGUUAUUCCUUGGUAUCAGUUGCUAUGGUGAUAUUCAUGUUAUGUGAACGUUGUAAGUUGCAUGCGGAUAUGAUGUUACAUG